Molecule: transfer RNA, 87 nt
Filed under: Gammaproteobacteria bacterium
Lineage: Bacteria; Pseudomonadati; Pseudomonadota; Gammaproteobacteria
Description: tRNA-Leu
Rfam family: tRNA
About the family: Transfer RNA (tRNA) molecules are approximately 80 nucleotides in length. Their secondary structure includes four short double-helical elements and three loops (D, anti-codon, and T loops). Further hydrogen bonds mediate the characteristic L-shaped molecular structure. tRNAs have two regions of fundamental functional importance: the anti-codon, which is responsible for specific mRNA codon recognition, and the 3' end, to which the tRNAs corresponding amino acid is attached (by aminoacyl-tRNA synthetases). tRNAs cope with the degeneracy of the genetic code in two manners: having more than one tRNA (with a specific anti-codon) for a particular amino acid; and 'wobble' base-pairing, i.e. permitting non-standard base-pairing at the 3rd anti-codon position.
Source: RNAcentral
GCCCGGGUGGCGAAAUUGGUAGACGCAAGGGACUUAAAAUCCCUCGGUAGAAAUACCGUGCCGGUUCAACUCCGGCCCCGGGCACCA